UGGUGUAUAGCCAAAAAGGCAAGGCAUUGGUUUUUGAUACCAUCACUUAAAGGUUCGAAUCCUUUUACACCAG
Molecule: transfer RNA, 73 nt
Filed under: Neogoniolithon spectabile
Lineage: Eukaryota; Rhodophyta; Florideophyceae; Corallinales; Spongitidaceae
Description: tRNA-Gln
Rfam family: tRNA
About the family: Transfer RNA (tRNA) molecules are approximately 80 nucleotides in length. Their secondary structure includes four short double-helical elements and three loops (D, anti-codon, and T loops).
Source: RNAcentral